GGGGCUGUAGCUCAGUGGUGGAGCAUCUGCUUAGCACGCAGAAGGCCCCAGGUUCAACCCCUGGCAUCUCUA
Hemicordylus capensis (graceful crag lizard) is the source of this 72-nucleotide non-coding RNA. The record is from the annotation of a RefSeq genome assembly. NCBI's taxonomy places the organism in Eukaryota, Metazoa, Chordata, Lepidosauria, Squamata, Cordylidae.